CUACGGGUGGCUCCAGUGGGGAAUUUUGCGCAAUGGGCGAAAGCCUGACGCAGCAAUACCGCGUGAGUGAAGAAGGCCUUUGGGUCGUAAAGCUCUUUUCUGGGGGAAGAUAGUGACGGUACCCCAGGAAUAAGCACCGGCUAACUCCGUGCCAGCAGCCGCGGUAAUACGGAGGGUGCAAGCGUUGUUCGGAUUUACUGGGCGUAAAGGGCACGUAGGCGGCACAGCAAGUUAAGGGUGAAAUCCCGGGGCUCAACUCCGGAGCUGCUCUUAAAACUGCUGAGCUAGAGAUGGUCAGAGGCGGGUAGAAUUCCUGGUGUAGAGGUGAAAUUCGUAGAUAUCAGGAGGAAUACCGGUGGCGAAGGCGGCCCGCUGGGGCCAUUCUGACGCUAAGGUGCGAAAGCGUGGGGAGCGAACGGGAUUAGAUACCCUCGUAGUC
This 439-nucleotide ribosomal RNA is filed under the name uncultured bacterium. RNAcentral's name for it is "partial 16S ribosomal RNA". It matches the Rfam family "Bacterial small subunit ribosomal RNA", at positions 339 to 795 of the family's 1533-position model. The record is from RNAcentral.